Zalophus californianus (California sea lion) is the source of this 104-nucleotide small nuclear RNA. The record is from Ensembl. NCBI's taxonomy places the organism in Eukaryota, Metazoa, Chordata, Mammalia, Carnivora, Otariidae.
AUUGCUUACUGGUAUUUAAAAACCUAGUGAAUAUUCAAAUAGUGAAGUUUAACAUGGCCCCUGCACAAGGAUGACACGCAAAUUCAGAAACAUUCCAUAUUUUU